CUGGUGAGUGGUGUUUCAGGGCAUCGGGGAGCCAUGCAGGAGACACGAGGAGUGCCAGAGCAACUGCUGUACCAUCAACAGCCUGGCCCCACACACGCUCUGCACCCCUAAGACCAUCUUCCUGCAGUGCCUGCCCUGGAGGAAGGUGAGGUGCGUGCAGGGGCGGGGGUGGAGGAGCGAGACUGCCUGUGGCCCCCUCCUACCUGCCCCUGAAGAGCCAGGGAGUGGAUGGUGGGUGCAGGGAUGACGCGUCUCCUGUCCCAUAGCCCAAUGGGUACAGAUGCUCGCACGACUCAGAGUGCCAGAGCAGCUGCUGCGUCCGCAACAACAGCCCGCAGGAGUUGUGCACGCCCCAAAGCGUCUUCCUGCAGUGUGUGCCCUGGCGCAAGGUGAGCUGCGGGCACCCGGGGCAGAUGGAGCAGGGGUAGCCGGAGACAGCCCCUCUCCACGACUGCUGCCUGGCUGCCUCCCCAGCCCAACGGCGACUUCUGCAGCAGCCAUCAGGAGUGUCACAGCCAGUGCUGCAUCCAGCUGAGGGAGUACAGCCCCUUCCGCUGCAUUCCCCGGACCGGGAUCCUGGCCCAGUGCCUGCCCCUGUGAUGUGAGCUCGAACCUGGGCGCGAGGGACCGGCCUGGGCCCUGGGAUGUUCACGCAGGACCGCGUUGCGCGGGGGCUGGUUCCAGCGGAAGCUUCCCUUACGGUUUGUGCUGCUGUUUCUGGGGCUCUGAAAAUCUGUGGGAACUGAAAGGCUGUGACCAGCCUGGUGGCGCGAAGUGUCUGUGAGAACAAAUCCCAGGCACUGGGGUGUAGCCUGAUUGUUAAACAUCAAUAAAGGCUCCUGGCCGACUGAGCAGCCGUGUCUCACCCCUUCUGUGUUUUGAAUAAUAAAAGCAUAAAAUCUGAAGGAAACCUGGAGGUCACAGAGAGGUGGCGUCGGCUGGGUCCGUGCCAGAGCGGCCUUCUGGGAAGCCUGGGGAG
This 979-nucleotide long non-coding RNA is filed under the name Homo sapiens (human). RNAcentral describes it as "non-protein coding lnc-LRCOL1-2:20". The record is from RNAcentral. Lineage: Eukaryota; Metazoa; Chordata; Mammalia; Primates; Hominidae.